Molecule: ribosomal RNA, 400 nt
Filed under: uncultured bacterium
Lineage: Bacteria
Description: bacterial SSU rRNA
Rfam family: Bacterial small subunit ribosomal RNA
Source: RNAcentral
GGAAUAUUGCACAAUGGAGGAAACUCUGAUGCAGUGACGCCGCGUGCAGGAAGAAGGUUUUCGGAUUGUAAACUGCUUUAGACAGGGAAGAAACAAGACAGUACCUGUAGAAUAAGCUCCGGCUAACUACGUGCCAGCAGCCGCGGUAAUACGUAGGGAGCAAGCGUUAUCCGGAUUUAUUGGGUUUAAAGGGUGCGUAGGCGGUCCGGAAAGUCAGCGGUAAAAGCCCGGGGCUCAACCCCGGCGAGCCGUUGAAACUGUCGGACUAGAGACGGCGAGAAGUACGCGGAAUGCGCGGUGUAGCGGUGAAAUGCAUAGAUAUCGCGCAGAACUCCGAUUGCGAAGGCAGCGUACCGGCGCCGGCCUGACGCUGAGGCACGAAAGCGUGGGUAUCGAACAG